This 447-nucleotide ribosomal RNA is filed under the name uncultured bacterium. RNAcentral describes it as "partial 16S ribosomal RNA". It matches the Rfam family "Bacterial small subunit ribosomal RNA", at positions 29 to 523 of the family's 1533-position model. The record is from RNAcentral.
AGCGAACGCUGGCGGCAGGCUUAACACAUGCAAGUCGAACGCCCCGCAAGGGGAGUGGCAGACGGGUGAGUAACACGUGGGAACGUACCCUUUGGUUCGGAAUAACCUGGGGAAACUCAAGCUAAUACCGGAUAAGCCCUUAUGGGGAAAGGUUUACUGCCGAAGGAUCGGCCCGCGUCUGAUUAGCUAGUUGGUGAGGUAACGGCUCACCAAGGCGACGAUCAGUAGCUGGUCUGAGAGGAUGAUCAGCCACACUGGGACUGAGACACGGCCCAGACUCCCACGGGAGGCAGCAGUGGGGAAUAUUGGACAAUGGGGGCAACCCUGAUCCAGCCAUGCCGCGUGAGUGAUGAAGGCCUUAGGGUUGUAAAGCUCUUUUACCCGGGACGAUAAUGACUGUACCGGGAGAAUAAGCCCCGGCUAACUUCGUGCCAGCCGCCGCCGUAA